CUAUCGUUGUCUCAUUUUACCCUUAUUUACCCUUUAAAUGAUUAAUUAAAGUAUCCUUUAUUAGGACUUUUUUGCUGAUGCAGCAGCGGUUCAUCAAUUAAUAGAAAUAGAACAACAGAACGCAGAAGCCUAUAUACCUACCUACCAUUCAUUAAAAUCCGGUCGAAGAAAAGGGGAAAUAAUUAUUGUUUGGUAUUAUAAAAUGGUGGGCUGCAACAUAAACAUCAAGACAACAAAAAAGAAAAAGAAUCUAUUGGUUGUGGCAUUUUAAAGAGGAUUCACACUUUCAACCAAAAAACAAAAGGACACUCUAACAAAGCUGAAAGACUUACGUAGAAAAAAAAAAGCAAAACAAGAUUCUAACCAGUGAAUAAGACGAAUGCAAAGUCGCACUUCUUCGCCUUGAAGGCUCUUGCUAUGCGAUGUAGAUGGACGACACGAAGAAACGGUCGUCCCUGUCAGUCGGUUGGUCGUCGUUGGAAUUUAAUGUUGAUAGUAUAAGAAGUUCUCUCUCAUGACCAACCAAGCAUUCAACUACUAUACCUCUACCCUCUCGAAUGUUUCAACUCCAAUUUCCAUCAUGAUGGUCUGCUCUUAGUUACUUAAUGUAAAAAGGAAAGGAAUAUAAACUUUUGGCGGAGGUGCUUUGUGGGGUUGGUCGCGGAAUGGUGUGGUGGUGAUGGUUGAUGGUCAGCGAAAGUUUAAGAAAUAACUCAAGAAGCCAAUGAGGAAAAGCCAAUUGGAGUAGAAGGACAAAGUGGCAGAACUGAGUAACUGAGCAACACAAAAAAAAAAUGAGGAAUGUGGAAAAAAAAUUAUACUUUUGUA
Long non-coding RNA from Episyrphus balteatus (marmalade hoverfly), 828 nucleotides. RefSeq lists it as uncharacterized. Lineage: Eukaryota; Metazoa; Arthropoda; Insecta; Diptera; Syrphidae. The transcript has 3 exons. The record is from RefSeq and is a predicted model, not a curated record.